GAUGAACGCUGGCGGCGUGCCUAAUACAUGCAAGUCGAGCGAACCACUUCGGUGGUGAGCGGCGAACGGGUGAGUAACACGUAGGUGAUCUGCCCAUCAGACGGGGACAACGAUUGGAAACGAUCGCUAAUACCGGAUAGGACGAAAGUUUAAAGGUGCCUCUGGCACCGCUGAUGGAUGAGCCUGCGGCGCAUUAGCUAGUUGGUAGGGUAAAGGCCUACCAAGGCGACGAUGCGUAGCCGACCUGAGAGGGUGAACGGCCACACUGGGACUGAGACACGGCCCAGACUCCUACGGGAGGCAGCAGUAGGGAAUCUUCGGCAAUGGGCGAAAGCCUGACCGAGCAACGCCGCGUGAAUGAUGAAGGUCGGAAGAUUGUAAAAUCCUUUUAAGUAUGAUGAAUAACCUGAUCAGGAAAUGGGACAGGGAUGACCGUAAUACUUGAAUAAGCAACGGCUAAUUACGUG
RNAcentral lists this ribosomal RNA (467 nucleotides) under uncultured bacterium. RNAcentral's name for it is "bacterial SSU rRNA". It matches the Rfam family "Bacterial small subunit ribosomal RNA", at positions 28 to 507 of the family's 1533-position model. The record is from RNAcentral.